AGCAGUAGCCACGGUAAUACGUAGGGUGCGAGCGUUAAUCGGAAUUACUGGGCGUAAAGCGUGCGCAGGCGGUUCGUUAAGACAGAUGUGAAAUCCCCGGGCUUAACCUGGGAACUGCAUUUGUGACUGGCGAGCUAGAGUAUGGCAGAGGGGGGUAGAAUUCCACGUGUAGCAGUGAAAUGCGUAGAGAUGUGGAGGAAUACCGAUGGCGAAGGCAGCCAUCUGGGACAACACUGACGCUGAGGCACGAAAGCGUGGGGAGCAAACAGGAUUAGAUACCCCCGUAGUCCCUGUCUCUUAUAA
RNAcentral lists this ribosomal RNA (303 nucleotides) under uncultured bacterium. RNAcentral's name for it is "partial 16S ribosomal RNA". It matches the Rfam family "Bacterial small subunit ribosomal RNA", at positions 507 to 809 of the family's 1533-position model. The record is from RNAcentral.